GCCAAGAUGGCCGAGUGGUUUAAGGCGAUGGUUUUAAGCCUUUUGCGUGCUUUAACACCAUUAUCGAGAGAUUCCAGGGUUCGAACCCCUGUCUUGGCA
Molecule: non-coding RNA, 99 nt
Organism: Hirsutella rhossiliensis
Lineage: Eukaryota; Fungi; Ascomycota; Sordariomycetes; Hypocreales; Ophiocordycipitaceae
Source: the annotation of a RefSeq genome assembly